This 372-nucleotide ribosomal RNA is filed under the name uncultured organism. RNAcentral describes it as "bacterial SSU rRNA". It matches the Rfam family "Bacterial small subunit ribosomal RNA", at positions 526 to 896 of the family's 1533-position model. The record is from RNAcentral.
CGAAGGUGGCAAGCGUUACUCGGAAUUACUAGGCGUAAAGCGCAGGUAGGCGGUUCGAUAAGUCUUUUGUGAAAGCUCCCGGCUUAACUGGGAGAGGUCAAAGGAAACUAUCGGGCUAGAGUGUGGUAGAGGAUACUGGAAUUCCCGGUGUAGCGGUGAAAUGCGUAGAUAUCGGGAGGAAUACCUAUGGCGAAAGCAGGUAUCUGGGCCAUCACUGACGCUGAGCUGCGAAAGCUAGGGGAGCAAACAGGAUUAGAUACCCUGGUAGUCCUAGCCCUAAACGAUGCUCAUUAGAUGUGGGGGGUAUCGACCCCUUCCGCGUCGUAGCUAACGCAUUAAAUGAGCCGCCUGGGGAGUACGGCCGCAAGGUUG